GACGAACGCUGGCGGCGUGCUUAACACAUGCAAGUCGAACGGAAAGGCCCUGCUUUUGUGGGGUGCUCGAGUGGCGAACGGGUGAGUAACACGUGAGUAACCUGCCCUUGACUUUGGGAUAACUUCAGGAAACUGGGGCUAAUACCGGAUAGGAGCUCCUGCUGCAUGGUGGGGGUUGGAAAGUUUCGGCGGUUGGGGAUGGACUCGCGGCUUAUCAGCUUGUUGGUGGGGUAGUGGCUUACCAAGGCUUUGACGGGUAGCCGGCCUGAGAGGGUGACCGGCCACAUUGGGACUGGGAUACGGCCCAGACUCCUACGGGAGGCAGCAGUGGGGAAUAUUGCACAAUGGGCGGAAGCCUGAUGCAGCAACGCCGCGUGCGGGAUGACGGCCUUCGGGUUGGAAACCGCUUUCGCCUGUGACGAAGCGUGAGUGACGGUAAUGGGUAAAGAAGCACCGGCUAACUACGUGC
Molecule: ribosomal RNA, 469 nt
Filed under: uncultured bacterium
Lineage: Bacteria
Description: partial 16S ribosomal RNA
Rfam family: Bacterial small subunit ribosomal RNA
Source: RNAcentral